Non-coding RNA from Pelobates cultripes (western spadefoot toad), 357 nucleotides. Lineage: Eukaryota; Metazoa; Chordata; Amphibia; Anura; Pelobatidae. The record is from the annotation of a GenBank genome assembly.
GUAAAAGUCCUUUGAACUGUGAACAGCUGCCAGAGGCUUAAUGAAGAUAACGUGACUGUUUUUGUCAAUAUGAACAUAGUGAAAUGACAUAGGACCCAGUAACACACAGUAACACACACUAACACACACACACACACACUAACACACACACACUGACACAAAAACUAACACUAACACACAGACUCUAACACACACACUCUAACACUAACACACACACUAACAUACACACACACUAAGACACAAUAACACACACACAAUCACACACACAAUUUAACACUAACACACACACACACUAACACACGCACACACACUCUAACACUAACACACACACUCUAACACACACACUCUAACACACAC